RNAcentral lists this ribosomal RNA (1495 nucleotides) under metagenome. RNAcentral's name for it is "bacterial SSU rRNA". It matches the Rfam family "Bacterial small subunit ribosomal RNA". The record is from RNAcentral.
AGAGUUUGAUCCUGGCUCAGGAUGAACGCUGGCGGCGUGCUUAACACAUGCAAGUCGAACGAAGCACUUUAAUUGAUUUCUUCGGAAUGAAGUUUUUGUGACUGAGUGGCGGACGGGUGAGUAACGCGUGGGUAACCUGCCUCAUACAGGGGGAUAACAGUUGGAAACGACUGCUAAUACCGCAUAAGCGCACAGGAUUGCAUGAUCCAGUGUGAAAAACUCCGGCGGUAUGAGAUGGACCCGCGUCUGAUUAGCCAGUUGGCGGGGUAACGGCCCACCAAAGCGACGAUCAGUAGCCGACCUGAGAGGGUGACCGGCCACAUUGGGACUGAGACACGGCCCAAACUCCUACGGGAGGCAGCAGUGGGGAAUAUUGCACAAUGGGGGAAACCCUGAUGCAGCGACGCCGCGUGAGCGAAGAAGUAUUUCGGUAUGUAAAGCUCUAUCAGCAGGGAAGAAGAAUGACGGUACCUGACUAAGAAGCACCGGCUAAAUACGUGCCAGCAGCCGCGGUAAUACGUAUGGUGCAAGCGUUAUCCGGAUUUACUGGGUGUAAAGGGAGCGCAGGCGGUACGGCAAGUCUGAUGUGAAAUCCCGGGGCUCAACCCCGGUACUGCAUUGGAAACUGUCGGACUAGAGUGUCGGAGGGGUAAGUGGAAUUCCUAGUGUAGCGGUGAAAUGCGUAGAUAUUAGGAGGAACACCAGUGGCGAAGGCGGCUUACUGGACGAUUACUGACGCUGAGACUCGAAAGCGUGGGGAGCGAACGGGAUUAGAUACCCCGGUAGUCCACGCCGUAAACGUUGUGCGCUAGGUGUAGGAGGUAUCGACCCCUUCUGUGCCGCAGCUAACGCAUUAAGCGCACCGCCUGGGGAGUACGGUCGCAAGACUGAAACUCAAAGGAAUUGACGGGGGCCCGCACAAGCGGUGGAGCAUGUGGUUUAAUUCGAGGCAACGCGAAGAACCUUACCCAGACUUGACAUCCCAGGACAGCUUAUGAAAGUAAGUCUUCCCUUCGGGGACCUGGAGACAGGUGUUGCAUGGCUGUCGUCAGCUCGUGUCGUGAGAUGUUGGGUUAAGUCCCGCAACGAGCGCAACCCCUAUUCUUAGUUACCAUCGGGUAAUGCCGGGCACUCUAAGAAGACCGCCGGUGAUAAACCGGAGGAAGGCGGGGACGACGUCAAGUCAUCAUGGCCCUUACGUCUGGGGCUACACACGUGCUACAAUGGCCGGUACAAUGGGCUGCAAUACCGCGAGGUGGAGCCAACCCCAAAAAACCGGUCUCAGUUCGGAUUGGAGUCUGCAACUCGACUCCAUGAAGCCGGAAUCGCUAGUAAUCGAGGAUCAGCUACGCCUCGGUGAAUACGUUCCCGGGCCUUGUACACACCGCCCGUCACAUGACCCGAGUCGGUUGCACCCGAAGUCACUGGCCUAACCCGCAAGGGAAGGAGGUGCCGAAGGUGUGAUUGGUGAGGGGGAUGAAGUCGUAACAAGGUA